GAUGGCGACCGGCGCACGGGUGAGUAACACGUAUCCAACCUGCCGAUAACUCGGGGAUAGCCUUUCGAAAGAAAGAUUAAUACCCGAUGGUAUAAUAAAACCGCAUGGUUUAAUUAUUAAAGAAUUUCGGUUAUCGAUGGGGAUGCGUUCCAUUAGGCAGUUGGUGAGGUAACGGCUCACCAAACCUUCGAUGGAUAGGGGUUCUGAGAGGAAGGUCCCCCACAUUGGAACUGAGACACGGUCCAA
This 246-nucleotide ribosomal RNA is filed under the name uncultured bacterium. RNAcentral describes it as "partial 16S ribosomal RNA". It matches the Rfam family "Bacterial small subunit ribosomal RNA", at positions 87 to 334 of the family's 1533-position model. The record is from RNAcentral.